UAUGUGAUCGUCUCUCGCAUAUCAAUAAGCGGAGGAAAAGAAACUAACAAGGAUUCCCCUAGUAACGGCGAGUGAAGCGGGAAGAGCUCAAAUUUGAAAUCUUAAAGGGUUUCCCUUUACGAAUUGUAGUUUAAAGAAGUGUUUUCUGUUGAGGUUUUGGUAAAAGUUCUUUGGAAUAGGACAUCAUAGAGGGUGAGAAUCCCGUAUUUGACCUUUACUUUCAACUUUGUGAUACACUUUCAAAGAGUCGGAUUGUUUGGGAAUGCAGUCCAAAAUGGGUGGUAAAUUUCAUCUAAAGCUAAAUAUUGGCGAGAGACCGAUAGCGAACAAGUACCGUGAGGGAAAGAUGAAAAGAACUUUGAAAAGAGAGUUAAACAGUACGUGAAAUUGUCAAAAGGGAAGCGUUUGACACCAGUGUUGUUUUUCUGAAAAUCAAUUAAAGAACUGUUUAUGCUAAGCUGUUUAGACUUUAUCAGCUAAUCUGUUUAGUUUUGAGCUUUUCUUUAAUGCACUUUUCAGUUAACAAGUCAACAUUCAAUUUCUUUUGCUGUAAAAAAGCUUGAGGAAGGUGGCUUGAGAUUCGUCUUAAGUGUUUAUAGCCUCUUGCCUAUGCAGUCGGAGAGAUUGAGGUCUGCAGCGUAGAUCCUUCGGGGCUAAAUGCAUUUGUGCUAAGUUAUAGCAUUUUAUAGACAACUUGUUGACUAUGAUUUGUCUUGUAGCUUACUCGCUUAUGUUAUUUUACCUACGCUUAGGAUGUUGAUAUGCAUGACUGAUA
RNAcentral lists this ribosomal RNA (775 nucleotides) under uncultured Neocallimastigales. Its description in RNAcentral is "partial large subunit ribosomal RNA". It matches the Rfam family "Eukaryotic large subunit ribosomal RNA", at positions 24 to 642 of the family's 3401-position model. Lineage: Eukaryota; Fungi; Neocallimastigomycota; Neocallimastigomycetes; Neocallimastigales. The record is from RNAcentral.